This 442-nucleotide ribosomal RNA is filed under the name uncultured bacterium. Its description in RNAcentral is "partial 16S ribosomal RNA". It matches the Rfam family "Bacterial small subunit ribosomal RNA", at positions 338 to 795 of the family's 1533-position model. The record is from RNAcentral.
CCUACGGUGGGCAGCAGUGGGGCAUAUUGGGCAAUGGGCGCAAGCCUGACCCAGCAACGCCGCGUGCAGGAAGAAGGCUUUCGGGUUGUAAACUUCUUUUGUCAGGGACGAGUAGAAGACGGUACCUGCCGAAUCAGCCACGGCUAACUACGUGCCAGCAGCCGCGGUAAUACGUAGGUGGCAAGCGUUGUCCGGAUUUACUGGGUGUCAAGGGCGUGUAGCCGGGUUGACAAGUCAGAUGUGAAAUCCUGCGGCUUAACCGAAGAACUGCAUUUGAAACUGUUGAUCGUGAGUACUGGAGAGGCAGACGGAAUUCGUAGUGUAGCGGUGAAAUGCGUAGAUAUUAGGAGGAACACCAGUGGCGAAGGCGGUCUGCUGGACAGCAACUGACGGUGAGGCGCGAAAGCGUGGGGAGCAAACAGGAUGAGAUACCCUGGUAGUC